AGUCUUAUAUUCAAGUAUGAUUUUAAAUUGCAAAUUUAAAGGUGAAUUAUUAAUAUUUUAAGGCUU
This 66-nucleotide transfer RNA is filed under the name Phyllotreta striolata. RNAcentral's name for it is "tRNA-Cys". The record is from RNAcentral. Lineage: Eukaryota; Metazoa; Arthropoda; Insecta; Coleoptera; Chrysomelidae.